UGGGGGAAGCCUUGGGGCACACCGUCCAGAGGGGCUGGCGGGUAAGAUCCAUGCUCGCUUGCUUCACCUCCAACAAAACCCUGGGUGUAAGAGCUGAGCUGACCGUCAUUUGUGUUGUCUCACAUCCUGUGGUGAGAAUCACUCAAGUGCCCGCAAACUUUGCCAGAAGAGACAUCCCCCAUUGAUCUUUCUGGACUCUGCUUUUCCUUUACUCUUCCUGUGGGAUCAUGGGAGCUCAGUAGUGCCCUUGGCAGCCCGGGUAUGUUUUCCAGUGUCACCUGUCACCCACUCAUGAGGGAUGGAAAGAACUGUGUUCACCCUGUGUGAAGUAAGGCACAGACAGCAGCCUGUUUACUUUAUUCAAAUAAUUGAUUUCUUUUCUCUGUGAAACUGAGUAGGACUACAGGAUGAAGGACAGCCCAUAUAUUAAACUCUUAAAUAAAUCCUUUGAGUUCAGAGUCCGGGUCAAGGAGAGGAACUGGUCACGGGUCUUGUCCCGGAAAUGAGGCCACCAAAAGGGCUUGUCCAUCAGUGAAGAUAGCAAAUUCAAUUCUUUUAAAAAAAAGUUCUCAAGGAGAAAAAAAUAGAAAAUUCCUAAGUUUCUGAAGCUGUAGUCGUCUCCUCCUCCAUGUCCACUCUGAAGCAUCCCAAGACAGAGGUUUUGAGUCCGUUUCCACAGAGACAAAGGCUCCACCUCUGCAGACCAAUGGCAGAACUGAGAAGAAGCAAUCAAUGUGCUUGGGUUAGUCCGACUUCUGUGUACACAUGACAUCAACUCAGACAUCUGAGUCCUGCAGAGACUGAGAAAGGGGAGGUGGUGUCAGCCUGGGGCAAUGCUGAAAUAAAGCAUUUCUGUUUAUUUUAUUUUCUAACUCUCCCCCACCCCCCAUUUUUGAGACAGGGUCUUGCUGCACAACACUGGCUGUACUGGAAUUCUAUAUACAGGCCAGGCUGGCACAGAUCUCACAGAGAUCUGCCUGCCCUUGCCUCCCCAGUAUUGGGAUUAAAGGUGUGGCCACCACAUAGGACUUAUUUGACUGUUAGUGUAUCUGUGCACAUGUGGGUGCAGGUACCCAGAGGCCAGAGGAGGACACGGGUCUCUGUCCAUCCCUAGGAGUGCACAGGCUUUAUAGAUAUAUAUUCAUACAUUCCAGAUGGCUGCAGAGAAUCUAAAUUUGAAACUGGCUCUUGUAGUUCUCACCUACAUUUUAAUCUGGUCUCAAAAAUCCUCCCUUAUUUACAAAGAAUAAAUGAGGUUCAAUUCAGAUGAAGCUCUGGUUUCCACAGCCCCACGUUCCCAAAAAUUAUGAGUUAAAUGCAAUGAGUUUUAG
RNAcentral lists this long non-coding RNA (1331 nucleotides) under Cricetulus griseus (Chinese hamster). RNAcentral describes it as "lncRNA (ENSCGRG00015031638.1)". The record is from RNAcentral. Lineage: Eukaryota; Metazoa; Chordata; Mammalia; Rodentia; Cricetidae.